Molecule: microRNA precursor, 112 nt
Filed under: Pteropus vampyrus (large flying fox)
Lineage: Eukaryota; Metazoa; Chordata; Mammalia; Chiroptera; Pteropodidae
Description: miRNA (ENSPVAG00000027685.1)
Source: RNAcentral
GGACGCUUAGUUAAAUCUGAACCCCAGAUAAACAACAAAUAAUUCCUUAGCAUAAGUAAAUCCCAAGCAUGCACGGGACAUACUUAUGCUAAAAUGCAACUAAUUUAUUGGU